UUUAACAUUUCCUAUGCUCAGGACACCACCCAGUGUCCCAGUUGACUUCCUGUUGACUACAAGAUAUAGGACUCUCAACCCCAGUACCACAUCUUGCCUACAUGCUGAAAUGCUCCCCUGCCAUGAUGAUAAUGAACUGAACCUCUGAAACUAGAAAAACUGUGAGAAUGGCAAUGCUGAAUCCCGGGAGUCCUUGGGGGCCUGGCAGAGUGACAGAAACUACAGACAAGUCACUAUGUGUGGAAUCUCCCCAAGCAAGACACGAUAAUCCACAAGGGCACGGAUUCUCAAGUGGGAAGUCACCAUCGAGGCGUGUUGAUGGCCAGAGUCAGCAUAAGCUACAGACCUCAUGUGGCGAAGCCUGCCUUCCACCAAGAGGGCUGACAAGAUUGGCAAUGGAUGCUCCGUUUACUCCGAGUGCUGAGGGGUCCUCACCCACCAGUGUGCAGUCAAUGUAGACAUUCCAAGGCUGAUGGAAAGCAGUGAGCAUUCCGCCCUGGACUCUCAUAUGUAUGGCUUCUCCUGUGCUCCUAUUCACCUUAAAUCUCCACGGUUCCGUGUAGCUCCCUCCUGAGUCCAGCCAGUAUUGUCAGUUUCUGUAUUCUUCCAGUGUUGGGAACUCAAGACACAUGCUCACAGUGCGUGGUGACAUCUGUACAAAUGGCAGCUUCUCACUUUCCUGCUCAGGUCACGCGCUGACACAGGACCUUCUGCUGUCACAGACAAUGUGUGCAAUGCCUUUGCAGGCACAUGUCUAACACCCCUGCUGCUCUGAUACAUUGUCAGACGUAACAUUAUUUAUACUCAUCCCCUAUCUUCCAUAAUUUCCAAAGUUCAAAGAAAACAAAGGUUCUGGGGUUUUCCCUAGAUUUUGCUUUAUUUUUAUUUAUGUGCAUGUGUAUGUGUGAGCAAGUACAUGCAGAAGCCAGAAGAAGGUGGGUACAUGGCAGUUUUGAACCACCCAACAUGGGUGCUGGGAACCGAACUGAGGUCCUUUGCAAGAGCAACAAGUGCUCUGAGCUCCUGAGCCAUCUCUCCAGCCCCAGAAGUCCCCACAGAGACGGUUGCUCCUUUACAUAUGCUCCUGAGGCUGCUUCAGCGACCACCUAGGAAACAGAAUACACAACUGCUCUGUGCAAGGCCAGGAGACCCUACAGGAAUCACACCUCUUACCUUGCUGACAUUAAGAGAGAGGAAAGCACUCUUCGCCAUAAGCAUUCGCAGGAACCACUUUAACUACGCAGACACACAAGGGAAACGCAUGAGCCCGAGUGGCUCCACACCUGUGUGGUACCCAGGAUUGCCACUUGGCCUGCACUGGGGGGAAGGGUUUGAACAGUUUCUUCUGCUGAGAGGCUCUCUCGAUGAUGGCACCCAUUAAUGGGAAUAUGCCAGGACUUGGGAAGCUGAAGCAGGAGGUUCUCAGGUGCAGGACGCCUGAACUACGUAACAAAACCAAACUGUGUUAUGGGAUAUUUGUGCACCGUGUGAAAAUGUAUUGCCGUGGUUGGUGUAGUAAAAAGCUAAAAAGCCAAUAGGCAAGAGGAAUAGGCGGGACUCCCAGGCAGUGUUGCGGGCUGCAGACCUCUGGCCCCUUGACUUUCUUUGCCUGCCUCAGACCCUUGGCCAGCUGGAGUGAACGGGGCAAAACAACUUGUUUACCUAUGCCAGCGGCCGCUCUGAGCACAAGGCCCUCAUGAGUUCCUGAUGGCAGGGAAGUGGUUUCUGGUGAGCUGGAGCGUGGCUAUCAGUUAGGGGUCCUUAUAUAAGCUUCCCUGGAGCACAAUAAAGUUGGCAUUCUUGUAUCAAGGA
Long non-coding RNA from Arvicola amphibius (Eurasian water vole), 1812 nucleotides. RefSeq lists it as uncharacterized. The record is from RefSeq and is a predicted model, not a curated record. NCBI's taxonomy places the organism in Eukaryota, Metazoa, Chordata, Mammalia, Rodentia, Cricetidae. The transcript is spliced from 2 exons.